CCUACGGGCGGCAGCAGUAGGGAAUCUUCCACAAUGGACGGAAGUCUGAUGGAGCAACGCCGCGUGAGUGAAGACGGGUUUCGGCUCGUAAAGCUCUGUUGGUAGUGAAGAAAGAUAGAGGUAGUAACUGGCCUUUAUUUUACGGUAAUUACUUAGAAAGUCUCGGCUAACUACGUGCCAGCAGCCGCGGUAAUACGUAGGUGGCAAGCGUUGUCCGGAUUUAUUUGGCGUAAAGUGAGUGCAGGCGGUUCAAUAAGUCUGAUGUGAAAGCCCUCGGCUCAACCGGAGAAUUGCAUCAGAAACUGUUGAACUUGAGUGCAGAAGAGGAGGGUGGAACUCCAUGUGUAGCGGUGGAAUGCGUAGAUAUAUGGAAGAACACCAGUGGCGAAGGCGGCUCUCUGGGCUGCAACUGACGCUGAGGCUCGAAAGCAUGGGUAGCGAACAGGAUUAGAUACCCUAGUAGUC
RNAcentral lists this ribosomal RNA (465 nucleotides) under uncultured bacterium. RNAcentral's name for it is "partial 16S ribosomal RNA". It matches the Rfam family "Bacterial small subunit ribosomal RNA", at positions 338 to 795 of the family's 1533-position model. The record is from RNAcentral.